GCCCCAAUAGCUCAGCUGGUAGAGCAUUUCAUUCGUAAUGAAGAGGUCGGCGGUUCAAAUCCGUCUUGGGGCA
This 73-nucleotide transfer RNA is filed under the name Gemmobacter sp. RNAcentral describes it as "tRNA-Thr". It matches the Rfam family "tRNA". Rfam says of the family: Transfer RNA (tRNA) molecules are approximately 80 nucleotides in length. Their secondary structure includes four short double-helical elements and three loops (D, anti-codon, and T loops). Further hydrogen bonds mediate the characteristic L-shaped molecular structure. tRNAs have two regions of fundamental functional importance: the anti-codon, which is responsible for specific mRNA codon recognition, and the 3' end, to which the tRNAs corresponding amino acid is attached (by aminoacyl-tRNA synthetases). tRNAs cope with the degeneracy of the genetic code in two manners: having more than one tRNA (with a specific anti-codon) for a particular amino acid; and 'wobble' base-pairing, i.e. permitting non-standard base-pairing at the 3rd anti-codon position. Lineage: Bacteria; Pseudomonadati; Pseudomonadota; Alphaproteobacteria; Rhodobacterales; Paracoccaceae. The record is from RNAcentral.